This is a long non-coding RNA of Rhinolophus ferrumequinum (greater horseshoe bat), 1212 nucleotides long. RefSeq lists it as uncharacterized. The transcript has 3 exons. Lineage: Eukaryota; Metazoa; Chordata; Mammalia; Chiroptera; Rhinolophidae. The record is from RefSeq and is a predicted model, not a curated record.
UGGUCCCAUCCUGCUGCUGACUGAGCUGCGCGCCAUCCACCAGCUGGACGCUGUCCUGGAGGCACAGGAAGUGGGCCGGCCAUCAGCCCAUCCCGGGGAACAGGCACCACAGCCCACCGAGCUUUCAGUCACUGUGGGCUGCGGGUUGCCCUCGAUGACCGCCUGGAACUGCGCGGUGUGGCCCCUCUGUGCCUGAACAUCCUCGAUGGUGACCUGCAUGGAUGGCGGUCCUGGGGGUGGAGGAGGGAGCCCGUGGGGAGGAGCCCAGACUGCGGCCUGCACCCCCUACAGCCCGUCCUGCAAUGAAUCUGUGAGCUGGAGCCUACCUAGCGCCUCAGGAAGUAUGGGAGUUCUCAGAGAGAAAGGGGCCUGGGUGCCGUGCCAGGGAGACCGUGCUCAGGGCAGUGAGCACAGAGCCCCACCACCCAAGCUGGUGCCUAGAUACCUUCAGGAGAACAUCGACUCCUUAGGGACAACUGGGCCUGGACACCCACCCUGUGCCGUCUGCCCCUCAGUUUCAGCUCAUCCCAACCCUUCGUCCUAUGCUGGCUCCCAUGUGGCCCACUCCAGACCCCAGGCCUGGUGGACCCAGCUCCACGCUCUAGGGAAGCCUAUAGACAGCCUGAUGCUGAAUCAGGGGCCUGGGGUCGUAAGGGGCAGGGGCUCCCUUCCUGCUCUCCUAUGGCAGCCCCUGCCCCUAGCCCAGCAGCUUUCUCCCCUCCACCUGAGGUCCUGUCCGCCCUUCCCUCCAAGUGCACCCUCACCUGGCCCCUGCCCUGGCCUCCCAUGAAGCUUCCACCUUCCCCCAGGGAACUUCCAGACCCUCCCUUGUUAGCUCCCUGCCCUCAGUCCCUGUGCAGCCCCAUCCUCCACCUGGCUGUCAGCCCCAGGCAGCAACACUGUGGCCUCAUGGGUGUGCCCAGGAAUGCCCACUGCUCUGUUCCCGGCAGGUCCCCCUGCCUAGAGCACCGUCCCCCUUCCCGGCACCAGAACUCUCCAUGGUCAGGGCAUCCACCUUGACCUUCCCCAUACCAAGAGGUCAACAGGACCCCCUACACACACACACCCCCCAUACCCUGCCUUGUCUAUUCUGACACGAGCCCCCUGCGCGGGGGCAGGAAGACCUGCUCACCAGUGGCAGGCUGAGAGCCAUCACUGCGGGCGGUCACACCAUGUGUGCCUGUGACCAGCCCCACAGCCCAUGUGUGAGCA